RNAcentral lists this ribosomal RNA (460 nucleotides) under uncultured bacterium. Its description in RNAcentral is "partial 16S ribosomal RNA". It matches the Rfam family "Bacterial small subunit ribosomal RNA", at positions 338 to 795 of the family's 1533-position model. The record is from RNAcentral.
CCUACGGGUGGCAGCAGUGAGGAAUAUUGGUCAAUGGGCGAGAGCCUGAACCAGCCAAGUCGCGUGAAGGAUGAAGGAUCUAUGGUUUGUAAACUUCUUUUAUAUGGGAAUAAAGUUAGGAACGUGUUCCUUUUUGUAUGUACCAUAUGAAUAAGCAUCGGCUAACUCCGUGCUAGCAGCAGCGGUAAUACGGAGGAUGCGAGCGGUACCCGGAUUUAUUUGGUUUAAAGGGUGCGUAGGUGGUUAAUUAAGUCAGCGGUGAAAGUUUGUGGCUCAACCAUAAAAUUGCCGUUGAAAAUGGUUGACUAGAGUAUAUUUGAGGUAGGCGGAAUGCGUGGUGUAGCGGUGAAAUGCAUAGAUAUAACGCAGAACUCCGAUGGCGAAGGCAGCUUACUAAGCUAUAACUGACACUGAAGCACGAAAGCGUGGGGAUCAAACAGGAUUAGAUACCCCGGUAGUC